Molecule: small nuclear RNA, 106 nt
Organism: Loxodonta africana (African savanna elephant)
Lineage: Eukaryota; Metazoa; Chordata; Mammalia; Proboscidea; Elephantidae
Source: Ensembl
GUACUUGCUUCAACAGCACACAUACUAAAGCUGGAAAGAUGCAGAGAAGAUUAGCACUGUUCCUGCACACAGUGACAUACGAAUUCACGCAGCGUACCAUGUUUUU